Molecule: ribosomal RNA, 460 nt
Filed under: uncultured bacterium
Lineage: Bacteria
Description: partial 16S ribosomal RNA
Rfam family: Bacterial small subunit ribosomal RNA
Source: RNAcentral
CCUACGGGAGGCAGCAGUGAGGAAUAUUGGUCAAUGGGCGCGAGCCUGAACCAGCCAAGUAGCGUGAAGGAUGACUGCCCUACGGGUUGUAAACUUCUUUUAUAAAGGAAUAAAGUGAGGCACGUGUGCAUUUUGGUAGGUACUUUAUGAAUAAGGAUCGGCUAACUCGGUGCAAGCAGCCGCGGUAAUACGGAGGAUCCGAGCGUUAUCCGGAUUUAUUGGGUUUAAAGGGAGCGUAGAUGGGUUGUUAAGUCAGUUGUGAAAGUUUGCGGCUCAACCGUAAAAUUGCAAUUGAUACUGGCAGUCUUGAGUACAGUUGAGGUAGGCGGAAUUCGUGGUGUAGCGGUGAAAUGCUUAGAUAUCACGAAGAACUCCGAUUGCGAAGGCAGCUUACUAAACUGCCACUGACAUUGAUGCUCGAAAGUGUGGGUAUCGAACAGGAUUAGAUACCCCUGUAGUC